This 498-nucleotide ribosomal RNA is filed under the name uncultured bacterium. RNAcentral's name for it is "partial 16S ribosomal RNA". It matches the Rfam family "Bacterial small subunit ribosomal RNA", at positions 30 to 523 of the family's 1533-position model. The record is from RNAcentral.
AUUGAACGCUGGCGGCAUGCUUUACACAUGCAAGUCGAACGGCAGCGCGGGGCAACCUGGCGGCGAGUGGCGAACGGGUGAGUAAUACAUCGGAACGUACCCAGAAGUGGGGGAUAACGUAGCGAAAGUUACGCUAAUACCGCAUACGUUCUACGGAAGAAAGUGGGGGACCUUCGGGCCUCAUGCUUUUGGAGCGGCCGAUGUCUGAUUAGCUAGUUGGUAGGGUAAAGGCCUACCAAGGCGACGAUCAGUAGCUGGUCUGAGAGGACGACCAGCCACACUGGGACUGAGACACGGCCCAGACUCCUACGGGAGGCAGCAGUGGGGAAUUUUGGACAAUGGGCGCAAGCCUGAUCCAGCAAUGCCGCGUGAGUGAAGAAGGCCUUCGGGUUGUAAAGCUCUUUUGUCAGGGAAGAAACGGUCGGGGUUAAUACCUCUGGCUAAUGACGGUACCUGAAGAAUAAGCACCGGCUAACUACGUGCCAGCCGCCGCAGUAA